GCAGUCAAUUUGCAUGGUUUUGUACCUCUUACAUCAGACGGUAAAUUCUAACACUUAGAUAUUCUCAUUUAUGUUAUUUUAUCUUUUGCUAACCAAUAUAACAUUCUUUAUAUUAAAUAUUUUGCAUUCAGGUUCAAAUGAUAGGGGGUCACCAGUGAUCCCACAAUACAUGCAGUAGCGACCGGCUCUCAGACACAGAGUCAUGGUCAAGGACCCGUUUUGCUCGCGGC
RNAcentral lists this long non-coding RNA (230 nucleotides) under Elaeis guineensis (African oil palm). RNAcentral describes it as "long non-coding RNA (EGUI_LNC017606)". The record is from RNAcentral. Lineage: Eukaryota; Viridiplantae; Streptophyta; Magnoliopsida; Arecales; Arecaceae.